AGUGAACGCUGGCGGUAGGCCUAACACAUGCAAGUCGAACGGCAGCACAGUAAGAGCUUGCUCUUACGGGUGGCGAGUGGCGGACGGGUGAGGAAUACAUCGGAAUCUACUUUUUCGUGGGGGAUAACGUAGGGAAACUUACGCUAAUACCGCAUACGACCUACGGGUGAAAGCAGGGGAUCUUCGGACCUUGCGCGAUUGAAUGAGCCGAUGUCGGAUUAGCUAGUUGGCGGGGUAAAGGCCCACCAAGGCGACGAUCCGUAGCUGGUCUGAGAGGAUGAUCAGCCACACUGGAACUGAGGCACGGUCCAGACUCCUACGGGAGGCAGCAGUGGGGAAUCUUGGACAAUGGGCGCAAGCCUGAUCCAGCCAUACCGCGUGGGUGAAGAAGGCCUUCGGGUUGUAAAGCCCUUUUGUUGGGAAAGAAAAGCAGCAGGUUAAUACCCCGCUGUUCUGACGGUACCCAAAGAAUAAGCACCGGCUAACUUCGUG
RNAcentral lists this ribosomal RNA (492 nucleotides) under uncultured bacterium. Its description in RNAcentral is "partial 16S ribosomal RNA". It matches the Rfam family "Bacterial small subunit ribosomal RNA", at positions 29 to 507 of the family's 1533-position model. The record is from RNAcentral.